RNAcentral lists this non-coding RNA (45 nucleotides) under Schistosoma curassoni. Lineage: Eukaryota; Metazoa; Platyhelminthes; Trematoda; Strigeidida; Schistosomatidae. The record is from RNAcentral.
AUCCAGAUGACGCGUCCCGAAUAGAACGGAACGUGCGUCCAGGAU